GGAAUCCCGCCUGGGUAAUCGUGAGCCGCGAGCCCAGUAUCGAGCCUUGCGGCGUGGCUGGUAACAGCCGUGUCGAUGCGUAGGCACGAAAGCAGGCGAGGUGCAAAGGAAGCGGGUGAAGCCGCCCUUGAAGGUGUUGAGCCCCGAAAAUUUUUGCGUUGGGAGUGCCGACGGGUUUGUCCCCCGGCAGGCCACAAUCCAUGCCGCGCUCUGGCGAGCGGCAUGGGUACUCCCCGGGGUCCGAGGCCG
This is a non-coding RNA of Thiorhodococcus drewsii AZ1, 249 nucleotides long. The record is from Rfam. NCBI's taxonomy places the organism in Bacteria, Pseudomonadati, Pseudomonadota, Gammaproteobacteria, Chromatiales, Chromatiaceae.